CAGAGCAAUUCUGCCAGGAGCAGAGCAACCUCAGUGAUGGAAACCACAGAAGAGGGGAAGCUCAACAGUGUGGAAGAUCUGACACUUAUGGACUUCCUUCAAAACCUAACUGAGAAGCAAUGGAGGGGAUUCGUGAGGGCGUGUUUGACCCGCUGACAAAACAACAGCUUGCCGGCUUGUGUCUGAGGAUUGACCAGUUUUUAUCGGACAAGCUGAUGCAGAUCAUCAUCCCAGUGCUUUACGAACUACUGGGCAUCCAAGAUGCUGCCUCCUCUCAAUUGUCACAGAGAUCUCUCACAGCGUCACUCACCAGCCUGUUAGACGAUAAGGCUAAAACCAAAUCCCGAGUGAGAUUUACUGAGGCUGGUGUACCUAAGAGGCCAGGCAGUCGAAAGUCUUACAAUAGCUUUCGCAUCCCGACUCCCUACCCUUCCUCCAACUAUGGAGAAAAAAGAGGAAGAAGAGCAGGAAUCACAACAACUUAAGUUCAAGGAGUUUUACCUGACUAAGGAGAUGGGCAGUCUGGGCAGUGGAAGCUACCUGCCCAAGGGGCCAUGAGGUCUCAAACCUCUCUGUCUGAGGUGCAGAAGAAACAAACCAACUCUGAGUCCUACAUGUCCUUUUAGGUCUCUCAGAGGACACCCUCGUCACCUGUGUGCAGGACAGCCUGCAAGGUUCUCUCCCAAACUUGCAUGCAUGUCCGAUUCUCCAUCUGGAAGUGCAGGCUCUAUGAUGCUAAUCUCUGCUGUAAUGGCAGAGUUGGCUAAAGAUGUCAAGUCGGCCGUAUCACUGGUCGUUAAGAGUGCCUCCGCAAGUCAAACCUCUCUAGUGACAUCUGGAAGAAGGGAGACUCGGAGACCAAGGUGACUGAAGCAUGGUGAGAGAGCUGGCUGCUAAACUUGAAAAAGUUGACCAAGAGAGCAAGAGUCUACAGGGCAAGUCAUGACACCAUCUCUGACACAAAGGUGUUUUGUUGACGAGAACGAACAGAGUUUGCUGGAAGUUCUGAAGGACAAGAUCACGUUUUGGCAUCGCAUGUUGGCUUCAUUGACGAUCUUGAUGCCCUGAUAAGGAAAUACGAGAGCAGCUACAAUAUUAGUGGAUCUGGUUCCUCCUGCACGUCACAUCAAGAGCAUCCAAAAACUCUCCAGCCGGCUGUUUCUAACAUCAGCAAUGCAAGCAGUGAGUGGAGUUCUUGCCAAAAAAGUCAGUAGUUUGAGCUUUCCUUGUUCAGUCGUUCAGUCUGAGUUAACAGGUGCUGUAUCAGGUCAAACAUUGUCUGGCAUUGUAAAGACAGAGUCAAUUCACCCAGUGGGCUCAGCAGCGUCAGUAGUUGUUAAGACUUUCGUGUCAGAUAUGAAGUCCUUGGCUGAAUCUGAAGAGAGUCCGCAACAGAAGAGUGCCUGUUUGCUGCUGUCAUAUCUACCACAGCAUCCAAAACAACUUGAAAGAUUAUUUCGCAAGCUUCAGCGAUGUGCCUUAAAGAGCAUUGUCACAUCUGAUGACAACAUCACAAAUGCUGAGUUUAAGGAGACAGUUCCACUUCCUUGCUUAGACAUAAAUAUAGGCCCAGUAAGAGUGAGCCUCAGUUGCCAGAGUCCACUGGUGAAGUUACUUUACAAAGAGGCUAAGUGAGAGCUCAAAACUUCUUUGGGCACAAACUGACUCAGAAGAAAGCAAGCUCCUUCUGACAACUUGCACCAAAGAAGUAUCUCAGAGCUUCUGGUCUUGUACAACACUGAGAUGUCAAAGGAGGACCCCUGUACACUGUUGGAGAAAAGAAUCAGACUUCUCUAUUGAGAGACACAAUUUGUAGAGUGUUCUGGCUCAGCUUGGGAUAUCUCCCAUUCCAGGGCCUCAUCAUCAAUAGUAUGUGAGUUCCCUCUCAAAUUGAGGACAGCAGAAGUAAUGCCACAGCUUCUUUGACCAGUCUGUUAAAUUGCAUGAAAAAACUCUCAAGUGAGGAAUUCAAGAGAAACGCCACUCAAGCAGUGAGUGAGUUCCUAGUUGAAAAUCCACCAGUAGCUUAACUAGUGCAAAGCCUGCUUAUUCUGUAGCGCCAGGUCUGGUUCCAUUCAAAACCGGUACACAUGGUCAAAGGAUAUUUGUGCAGAUUUGCUGUGCCUUUGGCAUCAUUGACACAUUUGUGGAAGACCUGCAGAGCUUGGCGCAACCUGCAGAAGUAGAGGAGAGAAACCUGACCUCCAGGAAAAAGCCAAAAAGCUACAGAGCAGGAUCUGGUCAGCUACCACUAGUUAUAUAACAAUAUUAAGAAGACAUUAAAGGACUUCACCAUUCACCAGCGGAGGUCAGACAUGCUGAGCAGAAUGUCCAUCAUAACCCACAGAGGACUCUGGACAUCUUGUGACUGAGGAGUAUCUUGGUUUGGCAAGCCAGAACUUGACACAAGCUAGUAAGAGUGUGCCUCACUUGCCCAGUUUGAACCAGGAAGUGGCUUUACACAGGGGUGUCAGCGAGAGUUCAAAACUUCUCUGGACUGAAACGGACGAGGCUCUACUGACCAAUAGUACCAAAGAGGUCAUUUCAACAAUCUUGACCUCAUGCGAGGAUCAGACAUCAAAUGCACCUUGCUUCUCCACAGUAGGAAAGAAAAUAUCUGAUAUGUCGCUUGAGGUCAACGUGUUGGUAGGUGGUGUUCUGUCUCAGCUGAAUAACAUCUCCUUGUCAAGGUCCCCAACACCAUGUGAAGACAUGUUUGAACGUCUCCAAGAUUCUCCUGAGCGAACCUCUCCAGUAAGUCUAGAUUGCAGCA
Molecule: non-coding RNA, 2773 nt
Organism: Salvelinus sp. IW2-2015
Lineage: Eukaryota; Metazoa; Chordata; Actinopteri; Salmoniformes; Salmonidae
Source: RefSeq, a predicted model, not a curated record